RNAcentral lists this long non-coding RNA (217 nucleotides) under Citrus maxima (pomelo). RNAcentral describes it as "long non-coding RNA (CMAX_LNC000832)". Lineage: Eukaryota; Viridiplantae; Streptophyta; Magnoliopsida; Sapindales; Rutaceae. The record is from RNAcentral.
CCUCCAGAAAAUACUCUGCUUUUAAUACACAACAAUCCUACAUCACCUCUUCCCUUCCCUUACUCAUAGGGAUGGCAAAAUCCGGGUCCGGGUUUAGCCUUCCCAGUUCCGGACCCGGACGCCAUUUUCUUUCUCCCGGACCCAGAUUAAAACCCGAUUUUUUCACUCCGGGUCCGGUACGGGUUCAACCUGGAAAAAUCUGGGUUUCCGGAUUUCG